This 74-nucleotide transfer RNA is filed under the name Frigoribacterium sp. SL97. RNAcentral describes it as "tRNA-Met". It matches the Rfam family "tRNA". From Rfam's summary of the family: Transfer RNA (tRNA) molecules are approximately 80 nucleotides in length. The record is from RNAcentral. Lineage: Bacteria; Bacillati; Actinomycetota; Actinomycetes; Micrococcales; Microbacteriaceae.
CGCGGGGUAGCUCAGUCAGGUAGAGCAGGGCGCUCAUAACGCCAAGGUCACGGGAUCGAAGCCCGUUCCCGCAA